RNAcentral lists this ribosomal RNA (497 nucleotides) under uncultured bacterium. Its description in RNAcentral is "partial 16S ribosomal RNA". It matches the Rfam family "Bacterial small subunit ribosomal RNA", at positions 28 to 507 of the family's 1533-position model. The record is from RNAcentral.
GAUGAACGCUGGCGGCGUGCCUAAUACAUGCGAGUAGAACGCUGAAGGAAGGAGCUUGCUCUUUCCGGAUGAGUUGCGAACGGGUGAGUAACGCGUAGGUAACCUGCCUGGUAGCGGGGGAUAACUAUUGGAAACGAUAGCUAAUACCGCAUAACAGUAGAUGUUGCAUGAUAUCUACUUAAAAGGUGCAAUUGCGCCACUACCAGAUGGACCUGCGUUGUAUUAGCUAGUUGGUGAGGUAACGGCUCACCAAGGCGACGAUACAUAGCCGACCUGAGAGGGUGAUCGGCCACACUGGGACUGAGACACGGCCCAGACUCCUACGGGAGGCAGCAGUAGGGAAUCUUCGGCAAUGGACGGAAGUCUGGCCGAGCAACGCCGCGUGAGUGAAGAAGGUUUUCGGAUCGUAAAGCUCUGUUGUAAGAGAAGAACGAGUGUGAGAGUGGAAAGUUCACACUGUGACGGUAUCUUACCAGAAAGGGACGGCUAACUACGUG